AUUAAUACUUGAUGGUGUUUCAAUUCCGUAUGUUAUAGAAACUAAARAUUUAUCRGKAUCGGAUGGGGAUGCGUGACAUUAGAUAGUAGGCGGGGUAACGGCCCACCUAGUCUACGAUGUCUAGGGGUUCUGARAGGAASGUCCCCCUUCUGGAACUGACACACUUCCCARACUCCUACGGGAGGCAKCMCUGAGGAAUAUUGGUCAAUGGUCGGAAGACUGAACCGGCCAAGUAUSGUGWAGGAUGAAGGUUCUAUGGAUUGYAAACUUCUUUUAUACUGGAAUAAAACCUCCCACGUGUGGGAUCUUGUAUGUACCGUAUGAAUAAGCAUCGGCUAACUCCGUGCCAGCAGCCGCGGUAAUACGGAGGAUGCGAGCGUUAUCCGGAUUUAUUGGGUUUAAAGGGAGCGUAGACGGGAGAUUAAGUCAGUUGUGAAAGGCUGCGGCUCAACCGCAGCACUGCAGUUGAUACUGGUUUCCUUGAGUGCGGUUGAGGUGUAUGGAAUUCGUGGUGUAGCGGUGAAAUGCUUAGAUAUCACGAAGAACUCCGAUUGCGAAGGCAGUACACUAAGCCGUAACUGACGUUGAGGCUCGAAAGUGUGGGUAUCAAACAGGAUUAGAUACCCUGGUAGUCCACACGGUAAACGAUGAAUACUCGCUGUUGGCGAUAUACUGUCAGCGGCCAAGCGAAAGCAUUAAGUAUUCCACCUGGGGAGUACGCCGGCAACGGUGAAACUCAAAGGAAUUGACGGGGGCCCGCACAAGCGGAGGAACAUGUGGUUUAAUUCGAUGAUACGCGAGGAACCUUACCCGGGCUUAAAUUGCGCUGGACAGAUUGGGAGACCAAUCCUUCUUCGGACCAGUGUGAAGGUGCUGCAUGGUUGUCGUCAGCUCGUGCCGUGAGGUGUCGGCUUAAGUGCCAUAACGAGCGCAACCCUUGCCAUUAGUUACUAACAGGUCAUGCUGAGGACUCUAGUGGGACUGCCAUCGUAAGAUGUGAGGAAGGUGGGGAUGACGUCAAAUCAGCACGGCCCUUACGUCCGGGGCUACACACGUGUUACAAUGGGAGGUACAGAAGGCUGCUACCCGGCGACGGGAUGCCAAUCCCCAAAACCUCUCUCAGUUCGGAUUGGAAUC
RNAcentral lists this ribosomal RNA (1137 nucleotides) under uncultured bacterium. RNAcentral's name for it is "bacterial SSU rRNA". It matches the Rfam family "Bacterial small subunit ribosomal RNA", at positions 162 to 1305 of the family's 1533-position model. The record is from RNAcentral.